RNAcentral lists this ribosomal RNA (365 nucleotides) under uncultured bacterium. RNAcentral's name for it is "bacterial SSU rRNA". It matches the Rfam family "Bacterial small subunit ribosomal RNA", at positions 29 to 418 of the family's 1533-position model. The record is from RNAcentral.
AGCGAACGCUGGCGGCAGGCUUAACACAUGCAAGUCGAACGGGCGUAGCAAUACGUCAGUGGCAGACGGGUGAGUAACGCGUGGGAACGUACCUUUUGGUUCGGAACAACCCAGGGAAACUUGGGCUAAUACCGGAUAAGCCCUUACGGGGAAAGAUUUAUCGCCAAAAGAUCGGCCCGCGUCUGAUUAGCUAGUUGGUGAGGUAACGGCUCACCAAGGCGACGAUCAGUAGCUGGUCUGAGAGGANGAUCAGCCACAUUGGGACUGAGACACGGCCCAGACUCCUACGGGAGGCAGCAGGUGGGGAAUAUUGGACAAUGGGCGCAAGCCUGAUCCAGCCACGCCGCGUGAGUGAUGAAGGCCUU